Molecule: ribosomal RNA, 423 nt
Filed under: uncultured bacterium
Lineage: Bacteria
Description: partial 16S ribosomal RNA
Rfam family: Bacterial small subunit ribosomal RNA
Source: RNAcentral
GAAUAUUGGACAAUGGGCGAAAGCCUGAUCCAGCCAAGCCGCGGGUGUGAAGAAGGUCCUCGGAGUGUAAAGCACUUUAAGUUGGGAGGAAGGGAAGUAAGCGAAUACCUUGCUGUUUUGACGUUACUGAAAGAAUAAGCACCGGACAACUCUGUGCCAGCAGCCGCGGUAAUACAUAGGGUGCAAGCGUUACUCGGAAUUACUGGGCGUAAAGCGGGCGUAGGUGGUUCGUUAAGUUGGAUGUGAAAUCCCCGGGCUCAACCUGGGAACUGCAUCCAAAACUUGCGCGCUCUCUUCUGCCAGAGGGUGGUGAAAUUUCCUGUGUAGCGGUGAAAUGCGUAGAUAUAGGAAGGAACACCAGUGGCGAAGGCGACCACCUGGGCUCAUACUGACACUGAGGUGCGAAAGCGUGGGGAGCAAACA